AGCCUCUGUUGUCUCAAAGGGAUGCAGCACUGGGUAGGUUUUUAGAGCUAAUUUUAGUCAAAGUGGAAACUGGAAAUAAAGCAGGCAACUCUUCUGACAUUUGGUACUUUGGUCAUAGUAUUGAAAACAGUAUAUUAUCUCCCUCAUUGUCAAAGGAAACAAAUUACAUACUCUGGAUUAAACACAAUUUGUGGAGGUGGUGCAAAGACUUGACAAAACUGCCGGGUAAGAACAGGUGAACAAAAUCAAGGAGUUAUUGCAGCUCACGCAAUCAAGGAACUGCCCUCAGCUGCGGUGGAGCCCCAGAGCGCCGAGGCGGCAUCACCUGCGGCUGGUUCCGCUCCCGGCCAGGCGGCGUUCCCAGUCCAGCAGCCAGGCAGGGCCGUUCUCCUGCUGCCUUUGUUGGGUGUUCCUGUGCCCGGCUCCCUCGUGGCUGUGGGACAUUCUCGGGCCCGGCUCCCCCGUGGCUGGAGGACAUUCCUGGACCCGGAUCCCUCAUGGCUGAGGGCGGCAGGCACUUCUUUGGGAGGGCAGGAGCCAGGAUCCUGAAGGAUCCCCAGCUCCCAGACUGCAGUGUGCUGCUGACAGGAGCUGCAGCAUCUCAUACCCCAGGAUCAGGAAUUGUGCAUGCAGAGACUCUACAGAUGUCUGCAAACCAGUACCUGGCCUUAGAUGUUAAACAAACAACAAAAUGUCUUCUGAUCAAAUAUGCUGCUGAGGUAUCU
Long non-coding RNA from Cyanistes caeruleus (blue tit), 725 nucleotides. Lineage: Eukaryota; Metazoa; Chordata; Aves; Passeriformes; Paridae. The record is from Ensembl.